This 212-nucleotide non-coding RNA is filed under the name Streptomyces sp. NRRL F-4489. RNAcentral's name for it is "Bacterial large subunit ribosomal RNA". It matches the Rfam family "Bacterial large subunit ribosomal RNA", at positions 1118 to 1315 of the family's 2925-position model. The record is from Rfam by way of RNAcentral. Lineage: Bacteria; Bacillati; Actinomycetota; Actinomycetes; Kitasatosporales; Streptomycetaceae.
AUCCUUGAAAGAGUGCGUAAUAGCUCACUGGUCAAGUGAUUCCGCGCCGACAAUGUAGCGGGGCUCAAGUACACCGCCGAAGUCGUGUCAUUGCAGCAUGAGGGCUAACGCCCGCUGUGAUGGGUAGGGGAGCGUCGUGUGCCGGGUGAAGCAGCCGCGGAAGCGAGUUGUGGAUGGUUCACGAGUGAGAAUGCAGGCAUGAGUAGCGAUAC